AUAAGAUUUCCAUGAGGGACGUCAAAGACGAUGACGUAGAUAGGUCGCAGGUGUAAAGGCAGCAAUGCCAAAGCCGAGCGAAACUAAUCUCCCGAAACUUUGCA
This 104-nucleotide ribosomal RNA is filed under the name Barnesiella sp. An22. RNAcentral's name for it is "partial 23S ribosomal RNA". It matches the Rfam family "Bacterial large subunit ribosomal RNA", at positions 2804 to 2925 of the family's 2925-position model. Lineage: Bacteria; Pseudomonadati; Bacteroidota; Bacteroidia; Bacteroidales; Barnesiellaceae. The record is from RNAcentral.